Non-coding RNA from Chiloscyllium plagiosum (whitespotted bambooshark), 471 nucleotides. Lineage: Eukaryota; Metazoa; Chordata; Chondrichthyes; Orectolobiformes; Hemiscylliidae. The record is from RefSeq and is a predicted model, not a curated record.
UGUAGUUGGAGCAGGAUUGCACCAGAGUUAACUCUAUCUCUUUGGGAUUGGGAUUCCAGAUGGCUACAAGCAAUGUCCAGAUGGCUGGGUAAAGUUCCAAAGGAUCUGCUAUCUCUUUUCCGACCAGCUUAAAUCUUGGCAGGGGGCCAACCACACGUGUAUCUCACAUAACGGCACUCUCGCCAUUGUUAAAAGCCACACUGAACAGGAAUUCCUGAUGAAACAUUAUCGCCUGAGCCGUUGGAUUGGACUGGCUAACCUCACUGACAACUUUAAUCAGUUCCAAUGGGUCAAUGGCUAUCCUUUGGUGACCAGUUACUGGUCCCUGGGUGAACCGGAUAAUUCCAUGGGUAAGCGGUGCGUGCGGAUGACCGUGGACGGACAUUGGAGGUCUGAACAGUGUGCCCGACACUACGCCUAUAUCUGCCAAGUCCAUUCCAUUGACUACAUUGCCCGGCAGCUACACCUGUC